This is a long non-coding RNA of Zophobas morio, 515 nucleotides long. RefSeq lists it as uncharacterized. The transcript is spliced from 3 exons. The record is from RefSeq and is a predicted model, not a curated record. Lineage: Eukaryota; Metazoa; Arthropoda; Insecta; Coleoptera; Tenebrionidae.
CCGAAACAUAUCCAUGGGAUUAAUUAGAAAUGCACAUUCUACUGAGCUCUCUAUGAGGAAAAGACUGAAGCAUUUAAAAGUUAAUAAAUAUUUUUCGACGGUGAUAAUGAGUGGCUCCCUCGGUUUACGUAAACCCGAUAAAAGAGUUUUUAACCAGGCCAUACUUACAGCCCAUCUUGAGCACGCAAAUCCCAGAGAGAUCCUUUGGAUUGGAAACGAACCGGUAAAAGACAUUCAAGGGGGCCUGCAGAUGGGGUGGUUGACUGUAAGGCAUAUCUUCUAAGUGUUUAUGCGAAGUGUGCAAGUAUAUUUGAAUCUUUCUUAUCAGAUUCUUUUCUUCUUUAUAAGAUGCCGUGAAUUUUUAAGUGCAUUGGUCAUCAGGAUUUUUAAAUUAACGUAUUUUUUCAUUAGGUUCUUGUUUCCCAAAACAAUGAGCAGAAUUCUGACCCGGAACCUCAUAUUAAAGUCGCCUCACUAUAUGAGUUGCUUGACAUACUAAAGUUGAGUUUUAGAAA